UACGAAGGGGGCUAGCGUUGCUCGGAAUGACUGGGCGUAAAGGGCGCGUAGGCGGAUUGUACAGUCAGGCGUGAAAUUCCCGGGCUCAACCUGGGAACCGCGCUUGAGACUGGCACGCUCGAGUUCGGGAGAGGAUGGUGGAAUUCCCAGUGUAGAGGUGAAAUUCGUAGAUAUUGGGAAGAACACCGAUGGCGAAGGCAGCCAUCUGGACCGACACUGACGCUGAGGCGCGAAAGCGUGGGGAGCAAACAGG
This 253-nucleotide ribosomal RNA is filed under the name uncultured bacterium. RNAcentral describes it as "partial 16S ribosomal RNA". It matches the Rfam family "Bacterial small subunit ribosomal RNA", at positions 524 to 776 of the family's 1533-position model. The record is from RNAcentral.